CGGAAAUUAGCUCAGUCAGGCCAGAGCGCAGCGUUUGGGACGCUGAAGUCAAAGGUUCGAAUCCUUUAUUUCCGACCA
Molecule: transfer RNA, 78 nt
Filed under: Methyloprofundus sp.
Lineage: Bacteria; Pseudomonadati; Pseudomonadota; Gammaproteobacteria; Methylococcales; Methylococcaceae
Description: tRNA-Pro
Rfam family: tRNA
About the family: Transfer RNA (tRNA) molecules are approximately 80 nucleotides in length. Their secondary structure includes four short double-helical elements and three loops (D, anti-codon, and T loops).
Source: RNAcentral